CAUGAUUGAUCUGAAGUGAAUGGGAGAUUAGCAGGCUGCAGACGUGUAAUAACACAAUAUCUUCUCACUGACCGCUGCCUAAAGAAGGUCACAUCUAGAUAUUACAAUUUUCAAUAGACGGGGAUUCGGUUGUAUUAUUUUUACAUGGUGCUGAGAAGGUUAUUGAAAUUUGCCUAAAUGAAGAUCUUGAUUUAUUUUGUGGAAUCUAUGCACUUGUGGGGUUUGCCAAACUUUUAGCCAUCCAAUCCAAAUUGCAUUUUGCAAUACCCUUUCCAGCUGUGAUGUCCCUUUUAUCAACCUCAUCUUGUUCUGGAAGUAUGAGAUCUUUACCUCCUGAAUCACUUUCUAAGCGGUGGAGAGGGAAUAUUGUUUCAUGGAAAGAUCGUCCGCUAGACUUAAGCAAAGAGUAUGGUUCUUAAAAUGAGAGGGAAAUGAGAGGGACGAAGGGAAUAUAAGUUCUAAUAAGUAAUAAGAACCAGAUCGGCAGAUCCUUGAAUCACGUAUGUCCGAGGAUAACCAUAAUGGAAGUGAGGAAACAUCGACGUCAGACUGUUGAGGCUCUCUUUAUUAUUUAACUGAAUUCUAAAUAGCUUCUCAAAUUUAAGAUUGAGAUUUUGGAUUCUCUAAACCCAGCUUCGACCCGGCUAUAUCAACAUCGGGGCAGGAAAAUAGGCUCUUAAGAACUUGAACGGGCUUGGUUUAUUCUCCAGCAUAGAAGUGAAUCCGUCCCAUGAUGAAACCAAAUAAGGGGGUGUACCGGUGGAAGUCAAAACAAUAGCACCCUUUGGCUCACUAUAAUAACCGUUUUUGUUUGAACUCACAAGUCUUUAAGCUUCAGAAGAUUUAUUAGCAAUACAACAGUACCCUGUGUCUCACUGUAAUAAUUGCCUUUGUUUGAUAUUUGAACUGUUUCAGAAAUGGAUCCAACCUUCUAAGAAGCUGACGAGUAACCCAACCACACGUCUUGUGGAUGGCUUCAUAGGGAGAAUAAAUGAAAAAUUAUGGUUUCCCCUCUUUUAUUUGUACCACAGUUGUAUCUUACAAUUCAGUACAAUGACAACAUUUUGUAUUUCCAUUGUACCAAAGAACUAUGGAGUAAUCUUGAUCUGGAGAUGGAUGACUGUUGUCUAAAUUUUGUAGUAUUGGAUUUUAGCAGCUCUAGCAGGUUUGUUUAGCUUUA
This is a long non-coding RNA of Lolium rigidum, 1180 nucleotides long. RefSeq lists it as uncharacterized. Lineage: Eukaryota; Viridiplantae; Streptophyta; Magnoliopsida; Poales; Poaceae. The record is from RefSeq and is a predicted model, not a curated record. The transcript is spliced from 3 exons.